AUUACAUCUUCAUAAGGAUCUGACUUAUGAGGAGUAUUCGAUACAAAUUGUCGAUAGGAAGGAUCAGGUAUUACGCCAUCGAACCAUACUUUAUGUGAAAGUAUAGUGUAGCAAUUAUAGUGAAAGAAAGGCUACUUGGGAGCUCGAAGCAAAAAUAAGAGUCAAAUACCAAUAGCUCUUCAAAACUUCAGAUACACUAAUUUCGAAGAUGAAAUUAUUUUAAGGGAAGAGAAUAUAAUAACCCGACAUUGGCUAGCAAAAAAAAAAGGUCAUGUGCAGUGCAUGUGAGGCAAAGAACGGAAGGCUCCCAAAGGGAGUCUUCCUCUUCUCCGACCCCAUCAAGGAGGAGAAGUAGAGCCUUCCUCUUCUCUGACUCCAUCGAGGAGGAGAAGUUUGAUUUCUCCUCCAAACAAAGAGAUUUUUGCCUAUAAAUAAGAGACCCCUUGGGAGCCUUCCUCUUCUCCGACUCCAUCGGGGAGGAGAAGUUUGAUUUCUCCUCCAAACAAAGAGAUUUUUGCCUAUAAAUAAGAGACCCCUCUCCCUCCUUGUUUCUCACCUCAAAUCUUUGAAGUAAUCGCCACCAAUUUUAAGAUCUUUCAUUAAGCUUUUUUUCUUGAGUUUCCAUCGAAGAGAAUCACCGGAUCUCUCACUGUGGGUGUCAUCGUAUCGGGGUAAGACCUUCUCCCUUCCCUCUUUCUUUUCUAGUGUCACCGUC
This 715-nucleotide long non-coding RNA is filed under the name Elaeis guineensis (African oil palm). RNAcentral's name for it is "long non-coding RNA (EGUI_LNC007682)". Lineage: Eukaryota; Viridiplantae; Streptophyta; Magnoliopsida; Arecales; Arecaceae. The record is from RNAcentral.